Molecule: ribosomal RNA, 423 nt
Filed under: uncultured bacterium
Lineage: Bacteria
Description: bacterial SSU rRNA
Rfam family: Bacterial small subunit ribosomal RNA
Source: RNAcentral
UCGGGAAUUUUGGGCAAUGGGCGCAAGCCUGACCCAGCAACGCCGCGUGAAGGAUGAAAUCCCUCGGGAUGUAAACUUCACAAGAACGGGAAGAAUAAGCGCAGGUUAAUACUCUGCGUGAUGACGGUACUGUUUGUAAGCUCCGGCUAACUCCGUGCCAGCAGCCGCGGUAAUACGGGGGGAGCAAGCGUUGUUCGGAUUUACUGGGCGUAAAGGGCGCGUAGGCGGUCACUACAAGUCACUUGUGAAAUCUUCAGGCUUAACCUGAAGCGGCCAAGUGAUACUGUAGGACUAGAGUGCGGAAGGGGCAACUGGAAUUCUUGGUGUAGCGGUGAAAUGCGUAGAUAUCAAGAGGAACACCUGCGGCGAAGGCGGGUUGCCGGGCCGACACUGACGCUGAGGCGCGAAAGCUAGGGGAGCGAA